RNAcentral lists this ribosomal RNA (820 nucleotides) under uncultured Geobacter sp. RNAcentral's name for it is "bacterial SSU rRNA". It matches the Rfam family "Bacterial small subunit ribosomal RNA", at positions 36 to 840 of the family's 1533-position model. Lineage: Bacteria; Pseudomonadati; Thermodesulfobacteriota; Desulfuromonadia; Geobacterales; Geobacteraceae. The record is from RNAcentral.
CUUGCGGGCUUUCUACCAUGCAAGUCGAACGUGAUCCGCCCUUCGGGGUGGUGAAAGUGGCGCACGGGUGAGUAACGCGUGGAUAAUCUGCCCGAGGAUUUGGGAUAACAUCUCGAAAGGGGUGCUAAUACCGAAUAAGCCCACGGGGUCUACGGAUCUUGCGGGAAAAGGGGGGGACCUUCGGGCCUCCUGUCCUUGGAUGAGUCUGCGUACCAUUAGCUAGUUGGUGGGGUAAUGGCCUACCAAGGCGACGAUGGUUAGCUGGUCUGAGAGGAUGAUCAGCCACACUGGAACUGAGACACGGUCCAGACUCCUACGGGAGGCAGCAGUGGGGAAUUUUGCGCAAUGGGGGAAACCCUGACGCAGCAACGCCGCGUGGGUGAUGAAGGCCUUCGGGUCGUAAAGCUCUGUCUGGAGGGAAGAAAUGAUUGGGAGCUAAUACCUCUUGAUCUUGACGGUACCUCUGAAGGAAGCACCGGCUAACUCCGUGCCAGCAGCCGCGGUAAUACGGAGGGUGCAAGCGUUGUUCGGAAUUAUUGGGCGUAAAGCGCGUGUAGGCGGUCUUUUAAGUCUGAUGUGAAAGCCCCGGGCUCAACCUGGGAAGUGCAUUGGAAACUGGGAGGCUUGAGUACGGGAGAGGAGAGUGGAAUUCCUAGUGUAGGAGUGAAAUCCGUAGAUAUUAGGAGGAACACCGGUGGCGAAGGCGGCUCUCUGGACCGAUACUGACGCUGAGACGCGAAAGCGUGGGUAGCAAACAGGAUUAGAUACCCUGUAGUCCACGCCGUAACGAUGAGUACUAGUGUUGCGGGUAUUGACCCCU